RNAcentral lists this transfer RNA (72 nucleotides) under Dipodomys ordii (Ord's kangaroo rat). It matches the Rfam family "tRNA". From Rfam's summary of the family: Transfer RNA (tRNA) molecules are approximately 80 nucleotides in length. Their secondary structure includes four short double-helical elements and three loops (D, anti-codon, and T loops). Further hydrogen bonds mediate the characteristic L-shaped molecular structure. tRNAs have two regions of fundamental functional importance: the anti-codon, which is responsible for specific mRNA codon recognition, and the 3' end, to which the tRNAs corresponding amino acid is attached (by aminoacyl-tRNA synthetases). tRNAs cope with the degeneracy of the genetic code in two manners: having more than one tRNA (with a specific anti-codon) for a particular amino acid; and 'wobble' base-pairing, i.e. permitting non-standard base-pairing at the 3rd anti-codon position. Lineage: Eukaryota; Metazoa; Chordata; Mammalia; Rodentia; Heteromyidae. The record is from Rfam by way of RNAcentral.
GGGGACGUGGCUCUGUGGUAGAGCGGACACUCCGCAUGUGUGAGGCCCUGGGUUCAAUUCCCAGCAUCCCAA